This 271-nucleotide ribosomal RNA is filed under the name uncultured archaeon. RNAcentral describes it as "partial 16S ribosomal RNA". It matches the Rfam family "Bacterial small subunit ribosomal RNA", at positions 524 to 794 of the family's 1533-position model. The record is from RNAcentral.
UACGGAAGGUCCGGGCGUUAUCCGGAUUUAUUGGGUUUAAAGGGAGUGUAGGCGGCCUGUUAAGCGUGUUGUGAAAUGUAGAUGCUCAACAUCUGAACUGCAGCGCGAACUGGCUGGCUUGAGUACACGCAACGUGGGCGGAAUUCAUGGUGUAGCGGUGAAAUGCUUAGAUAUCAUGAGGAACUCCUAUUGCGAAGGCAGCUCACGGGAGUGUCACUGACGCUUAAGCUCGAAGGUGCGGGUAUCAAACAGGAUUAGAUACCCGUGUAGU